CCUACGGGAGGCAGCAGUGAGGAAUCUUGGUCAAUGGUCGGGAGACUGAACCAGCCAAGCCGCGUGAGGGAUGAAGGUACAGAGUAUCGUAAACCUCUUUUGUCAGGGAACAAAGGCGGGGACGCGUCCCCGGAUGAGUGUACCUGAAGAAAAAGCAUCGGCUAACUCCGUGCCAGCAGCCGCGGUAAUACGGAGGAUGCGAGCGUUAUCCGGAUUUAUUGGGUUUAAAGGGUGCGCAGGCGGUCUGUUAAGUCAGCGGUCAACCCCCGGGGCUCAACCCCGGACCGCCGUUGAAACUGGCAGUCUCGAGUUGGAGAGAAGUAUGCGGAAUGCGGGGUGUAGCGGUGAAAUGCAUAGAUAUCGCGCAGAACUCCGAUUGCGAAGGCAGCAUGCCGGCUCCACACUGACGCUGAGGCACGAAAGCGUGGGUAUCGAACAGGAUUAGAUACCCCAGUAGUC
RNAcentral lists this ribosomal RNA (459 nucleotides) under uncultured bacterium. RNAcentral's name for it is "partial 16S ribosomal RNA". It matches the Rfam family "Bacterial small subunit ribosomal RNA", at positions 338 to 795 of the family's 1533-position model. The record is from RNAcentral.